UCUCUAGAGCAACAGGGAAGUACAGGGGGAGAGAGGGAGGGACCAGCUCAUGCCACGGCUGUCUUCUUGUGGGACUGGAGUCAAGGGUCAUAUACCCAGAUGACUGCGGAAAUUUGAGAACACAGCAACAAUGCAAUAUAAAAUCUCUACUUCAGCAUAAGAAACUGUGGCGCAAUUAGCUUAGUCAUUUCCAGUUCUUUUAACCUGAGGAAAUAAAGACUUAUCGAAAGCAGGGUCUGGAUCUGUGCUGGUCAUGAUUCUUUGCCUGCAAACCCAGCCCAAAUUUUCUUACAACACAGCAUGUAAAAAUUUUCCCACAACCAGUGCCUACUACAAAGCCUGCCAAGAUCAUUUAACAAAGGAACGGUGGCUAUGGAGAACCUCUGUGAACCAUACCUGUUCUAUUACACUCUAAACUGUCAAUCACAGCCACCUAUGACCUGAGAUACAAACAAAAGCUUCUAGAAAUCACAGAAAGGAGCCACCAGCAACAAAAUGGGAGGUUUGUUCCGAGGGCCAUUUAGAAAAUCUUUCACUUUUCACCUACC
Molecule: long non-coding RNA, 548 nt
Organism: Nyctereutes procyonoides (raccoon dog)
Lineage: Eukaryota; Metazoa; Chordata; Mammalia; Carnivora; Canidae
Exons: 3
Source: RefSeq, a predicted model, not a curated record